Molecule: long non-coding RNA, 1187 nt
Organism: Dicentrarchus labrax (European seabass)
Lineage: Eukaryota; Metazoa; Chordata; Actinopteri; Moronidae
Source: Ensembl
AUGUGUGUGACAGCUGAUGCUCCAUCCAGGUUCUCAUUGGACCUGGGUGUGGUUUUAAUGGGUGCGGUUUUAAUGAAUUUCCCUGUUGAGAUCAGAGAUCAGUUCUCUGUGCUGCAGCUCACACUGAAGACUUCUAAAUCAGUCCUGAGUCUGAGCAUGACGAGCCAUUUCAACCAGAGAGGACGCAACCUCGUGUUUAAAGGUCUGCACUUGAAACUGAAGGAUUUGAGAAAGAAAGCAGAAGAAGAAGGUUGGAAAAACCGGUACCUCUUCAAAGACCACAUCCCAGCGUACCCCCGACCAGAGUUUCAUGUGUCUCAUCUGAAACACGACACCGACCAAGCUGGAUUACGUGGGAUCAGGAGGGACGGUGGCUUUAGGAACCCGGCUGAUGGCUCUCUGCUGUGGUGGAGUCUGGUUGUGGGAUCUGAUGAGAUAAGGUCCGCUGAGAGGAGGCUCCUGGAGACCACCUACCCAGACCGGACAGAGGAGCAGGCCCAGAAGCAGCAGAGCUUCCUGGAGAAGUUUGCAACCUCCCCAGUCUUCAUGGAGUCCUCCAGGCUGGGCUCGUACCGCUUCACCUUCCCCCUGGAGGAGGUUCUGAAGGCCUACAGAGACCAGUUUUGUUCCGGUGCUCAACCCGUCAUGAGGUUGUUCAGGACCAUCCUGUACAAACAGGAAGUGAUGUACGCGGUGCUGGUCCACAGCCCGGCCAAUCAGCAGCUGUUCUCAGACCUUCCUCUGCUGACUGACGACCCAAACUCUGUGUGCACUUACAGAGACGGACACUUCAUCUGGAGGUCUGAGGCCAUGUGUGAGACACACAGGUAGGAACUGAGCACUGAGGUUCUGUAACACCUGCUGUCUGCUUCCUGUCUGGUUGUCCUGUUGCUGACUGUUAUCUUCUGCCUGACGCUGCUUCCUCUCUCCACUGAUCCCACCAAAAUAUCUGUACGUUUACAGGUUCUUCCUGUGUAUGUUUUAUAAACAUGGAAAUAUUCAUUCAAUUACACAAAUACAGUGUGAAUUCACACCAAUCAUCAAUCCACAAUCAUAAAAAUAAUGCUUAUUUAAAGAAAAUGUACUUUUUUUCACAUAAAAAGUUUAAAAUAUAUUUUUUCGCCAGAGAAAGAGAAAAAUCAAAUAAUAACAGCACUCUGCUGUAAGCCUGAUUAUUUGUAUUAUAA